GCCGGGCGCGGUGGCGUGCGCCUGUAGUCCCAGUUACUUGGGAGGCUGAGGCAAGAGAAUCACUUGAACCCGGGAGGCGGAGGUUGCAGUGAGCCGAGACUGUGUCACUGCACUCCAGCCUGGGUGACAGAGUGAGACUCUGUCUCGA
RNAcentral lists this signal recognition particle RNA (148 nucleotides) under Gorilla gorilla gorilla (western lowland gorilla). RNAcentral's name for it is "Metazoan signal recognition particle RNA". It matches the Rfam family "Metazoan signal recognition particle RNA". From Rfam's summary of the family: The signal recognition particle (SRP) is a universally conserved ribonucleoprotein. Lineage: Eukaryota; Metazoa; Chordata; Mammalia; Primates; Hominidae. The record is from Rfam by way of RNAcentral.